CUUUGGUGGCGGUCUGGUUGGUGACUAAGAGUUAAUGCUUCCUCUUUAGACCAUCAGGAGCAGUUUCCAAGGAGACUACCUCCUUGUGGGCUGAAUCUUCAGCAGGUGCAUAUUAGCUCAUUUCCAGCGAAGUCUGCAGGCAGAAAGACAACUUUUCACAGACCUGUCUUACCACCUACUUCCUGUUUUAUUCUUUCAUGGAUGCAACUUUCCCUGCAGGAAGAAGCAGCUGAAUCUGGAAGCAGCAUUUGUGCAGCUCAUAGCAAUAUGAUACAAAUCUAGCCACCUCGCAGCCUGAUGAGAUGGAAAUGGACAUUUCAAGCCACGGUUGCUCUCAGGGUAUCCAUGGGUACUGUGGAAUUGGGAGCACUAAAACUACAGUCCAGCUUAGUUGGAGAAUAACAAUCUGCAUUUGAUUGUGCCAAACACCCAUGGUAAGCCAUUGCAAACAUUUCCCACCAUUAUCACUUGUAUUUUUCUAGUGUUGGGAGUAAGGUAUUUGUCUGUAUUGG
This 512-nucleotide long non-coding RNA is filed under the name Anser brachyrhynchus (Pink-footed goose). Its description in RNAcentral is "lncRNA (ENSABRG00000004712.1)". Lineage: Eukaryota; Metazoa; Chordata; Aves; Anseriformes; Anatidae. The record is from RNAcentral.